This is a transfer RNA of Kwoniella heveanensis BCC8398, 133 nucleotides long. It matches the Rfam family "tRNA". Rfam says of the family: Transfer RNA (tRNA) molecules are approximately 80 nucleotides in length. Their secondary structure includes four short double-helical elements and three loops (D, anti-codon, and T loops). Further hydrogen bonds mediate the characteristic L-shaped molecular structure. tRNAs have two regions of fundamental functional importance: the anti-codon, which is responsible for specific mRNA codon recognition, and the 3' end, to which the tRNAs corresponding amino acid is attached (by aminoacyl-tRNA synthetases). tRNAs cope with the degeneracy of the genetic code in two manners: having more than one tRNA (with a specific anti-codon) for a particular amino acid; and 'wobble' base-pairing, i.e. permitting non-standard base-pairing at the 3rd anti-codon position. Lineage: Eukaryota; Fungi; Basidiomycota; Tremellomycetes; Tremellales; Cryptococcaceae. The record is from Rfam.
GGCUCUAUGGCGCAAUUGGUAGCGCGUCAGAUUCCAAGCACUAAGCCGCCUCAUGAUUUAACCCUUUCGAGGGUUAUUGUUGUGAGGCACAAUUCAUAUCUGUAGGUUAUCCGUUCGAGUCGGGUUAGGGUCA